GGGGGCGAUCUGGUAUCGACCGGGUAAUUUGAUGUGUUCGUUGCGUGUCGUGGAAGAUCUGAUGGCCACGUAAAAAUCAGGUCAAAACGUUAGAUGCUGAACCUACAUUCAGCCUGGCUGCCUAAUUUAGAGUAGCCACCAUGUCCGGGAGCUUAGGUUGAGAGGUCCCGGCGCGGUCGUCAAAUCAACCUCGCGGAUUCCAGAGUUCUUUCGCAAGAAAGGGCGCUUCGAGGGCGGAAUCGGCUAAAAAAACUGAUCGAUAGUCUGGCAAGAAUCCCGCAGGUGGGAGUAGUGUCGGACGAACGGGCUGGUUCGGCCAGCCGGAAUACGCCUGAUACACACGUAGAUACGGGCACUUCUGUGCCACGGGACGCGGGUUCGAUUCCCGCCGCCUCCAUUA
Molecule: transfer-messenger RNA, 400 nt
Filed under: Telmatocola sphagniphila
Lineage: Bacteria; Pseudomonadati; Planctomycetota; Planctomycetia; Gemmatales; Gemmataceae
Description: Standard tmRNA
Rfam family: transfer-messenger RNA
About the family: Bacterial tmRNA, also known as 10Sa RNA or SsrA, is named for its dual tRNA and mRNA-like properties.
Source: Rfam by way of RNAcentral